This 377-nucleotide ribosomal RNA is filed under the name uncultured bacterium. RNAcentral's name for it is "bacterial SSU rRNA". It matches the Rfam family "Bacterial small subunit ribosomal RNA", at positions 28 to 414 of the family's 1533-position model. The record is from RNAcentral.
GAUGAACGCUGGCGGCGUGCCUAACACAUGCAAGUCGAGCGAUUCUCUUCGGAGAAGAGCGGCGGACGGGUGAGUAACGCGUGGGUAACCUGCCCUGUACACACGGAUAACAUACCGAAAGGUAUGCUAAUACGAGAUAAUAUGCUUUUAUCGCAUGGUAGAAGUAUCAAAGUUUUUGCGGUACAGGAUGGACCCGCGUCUGAUUAGCUAGUUGGUAAGGUAACGGCUUACCAAGGCGACGAUCAGUAGCCGACCUGAGAGGGUGAUCGGCCACAUUGGAACUGAGACACGGUCCAAACUCCUACGGGAGGCAGCAGCGGGGAAUAUUGCACAAUGGGCGAAAGCCUGAUGCAGCAACGCCGCGUGAGCGAUGAAGG